GUCGCACGCAGAGUGCUUGCACUCUGAGUGGCGCACGGCUGAGGAUCACGUGGGAACAUGCCUCCUUGUGGGGGACAACCCCGCGAAAGCGGGGCUAAUCCCGCAUACGCUCGGCAACGAGGAAAGCGGUAACGCGCAGGGAGAGUGGCCCGCGGCCCAUCAGGUUGUUGGUGGGGUAAUGGCCUACCAAGCCGGUGACGGGUAGCUGGUCUGUGAGGACAGACAGCCAGACUGGGACUGAGACACGGCCCAGACUCCUACGGGAGGCAGCAGCAAGGAAUUUUCGUCAAUGGGCGCAAGCCUGAACGAGCAACGCCGCGUGGAGGAUGACGGCCUUCGGGUUGUAAGCUCCUUUUUCGGGGGACGAUGAUGACGGUACCCCGGGAAUAAGGCUCGGCUAACUCUGUGCCAGCAGCCGCGGUAAUACAGAGGAGCCAAGCGUUGUCCGGAUUGACUGGGCGUAAAGCGCACGCAGGCGGCUGCGCGCGUGGGGUGUGAAAUCUGGCCGCUUAACGGCCAGGCGCCAUCCCAUACGGCGCGGCUGGAGGGCUGCGGAGGUCGAUGGAAUUGCCGGUGUAGUGGUGAAAUGCGUAGAGAUCGGCGGGAACACCCAGGGGGAAACCAGUCGACUGGGCAGCACCUGACGCUGAGGUGCGAGAGCGUGGGGAGCGAACCGGAUUAGAUACCCUGGUAGUCCACGCCCCUAAACUAUGUCAACUGGUUGUCGGGGGAUUGAUUCCCUUGGUAACGAAGCUAACGCGUGAAGUUGACCGCCUGGGGAGUACGGUCGCAAGAUUAAAACUCAAAGGAAUUGACGGGGACCCGCACAAGCGGUGGAUUAUGUGGAUUAAUUCGAUGCAACGCGAAAACCUUACCUACCCUUGACUUGUAGCGAACCUCGCAGAGAUGUGAGGGUGCCCGAAAGGGACGCUAACACAG
RNAcentral lists this ribosomal RNA (939 nucleotides) under uncultured bacterium. RNAcentral's name for it is "bacterial SSU rRNA". It matches the Rfam family "Bacterial small subunit ribosomal RNA", at positions 61 to 1037 of the family's 1533-position model. The record is from RNAcentral.